Molecule: ribosomal RNA, 253 nt
Filed under: uncultured bacterium
Lineage: Bacteria
Description: partial 16S ribosomal RNA
Rfam family: Bacterial small subunit ribosomal RNA
Source: RNAcentral
UACGUAGGGUGCAAGCGUUGUCCGGAAUUAUUGGGCGUAAAGAGCUCGUAGGCGGUCUGUUGCGUCGGCUGUGAAAACCCGAGGCUCAACCUCGGGCCUGCAGCCGAUACGGGCAGACUAGAGUUCGGCAGGGGAGACUGGAAUUCCUGGUGUAGCGGUGAAAUGCGCAGAUAUCAGGAGGAACACCGGUGGCGAAGGCAGGUCUCUGGGCAUUAACUGACGCUGAGGAGCGAAAGCAUGGGGAGCGAACAGG